UCAGCUCGUGUCGUGAGAUGUUGGGUUAAGUCCGUAACGAGCGCAACCCUGUCCUAGUUACCAGCACGUUAUGGUGGGCACUCUAAGGAGACUGCCGGUGACAAACCGGAGGAAGGUGGGGAUGACGUCAAGUCAUCAUGGCCCUUACGGCCUGGGCUACACACGUGCUACAAUGGUCGGUACAAAGGGUUGCCAAGCCGCGAGGUGGAGCUAAUCCCAUAAAACCGAUCGUAGUCCGGAUCGCAGUCUGCAACUCGACUGCGUGAAGUCGGAAUCGCUAGUAAUCGUGAAUCAGAAUGUCACGGUGAAUACGUUCCCGGGCCUU
RNAcentral lists this ribosomal RNA (325 nucleotides) under uncultured Pseudomonas sp. RNAcentral describes it as "bacterial SSU rRNA". It matches the Rfam family "Bacterial small subunit ribosomal RNA", at positions 1055 to 1382 of the family's 1533-position model. Lineage: Bacteria; Pseudomonadati; Pseudomonadota; Gammaproteobacteria; Pseudomonadales; Pseudomonadaceae. The record is from RNAcentral.